UUGACAGAGAGAGAGAGAGAGAUUACAAGUAGGCAGAACAGCAGGCGGGGGGAAGCAGGCUCCCUGCUGAGCAGAGAGCCUGCUGUGCAGCUCCAUCCCAGGACCCUGAGAUCAUGACCUGAGCUGAAGGCAGAAGCUUAAUCCACUGAGCCACCCAGGUGCCCCAACAAAUAGUAUUUUAAAAAUCAGAAUUAAUGUAAAAAUCCAUGUGAAAAAAUAUCAAUAUUUUGAAUAGACAGGAUCAGGAUUAUCGAUUUUUCCUUUUAUCUCAGUCAUCCAGUAUGAUUUGGUACAGCACUGAAAGCAAGAUGUUUUGGUUUUGUUUUUGCUGUUUGCCCUCAGUCAGAUUUUUUAAUGUUUGAACCUUUGGAGAAUUACCUUGUAAAUCAUUUUAAGUGUUUACAGUGGAAUUUUGUGAGUCCUCUAAAUUGUGUUCAGAAGAAACAAAGUCUUUAAUCACAAUGUUCCACAAGUGUGCCAAAAAACUCUGUAACUUUUAAAACUUGUAUCAAAUUUUAGGUAUUAUAAACAAAGCCUUGAGCAAAUUUCAGUGAUUUCACACUAGAAAACAUUUACAUUUAUCCCUCCAAAGCGAGAGAGUUGUUGAAUAAAUUAGCUGAUGGGACCUUAAAUGGUGGCCAAGAUUUAAAUUAGGAAUUCAGUAGUUUUUCUUUGACUUGUGGGAAGAAUGUUUUGAUGGAGUGCCUAUUUUUAAUUGGGCAAAUUUAUAUUUUGUGCUUGAACUGCAGGGAAGACGGAAGGGCUGACAUUUUGCGGCAUCUGUGAUUGGCAAAAUAUUAAAAAGAAUUACAAAGUCAAGUUAUGUGGAUCUCCUCCAGGCUGUCGCACUAAAUUUAGUUGUGAAGUCUCCUUAGGCUCUUCUUGGCAGUGACAGCUUUUCAGCCUUCUUGUUUUCGACGACCUUGACAGUUUGGGGGAUUACUGGUCAGACUCCAGGAAGUACUCAGAACCUAGAACCCGAGGCUGAGGCAUCAGUGAAACGUCCAUCAAGAGGACAGGAGGCAGAAGCACCUGUGUCCUCCACGGAGGUGUUGAGAACCAAGGAAACCAGGUUCUGGGGCAGUGGGAAACCUCUGGAGUUGGGGGUGGUGAUGGGAGACUUGGGGAUGGGCAGAGGGGAUGCUGACAGCCAGUACCAAGCCUAGGGCAGAGCUGGGCCUGCAGGACA
Mustela lutreola (European mink) is the source of this 1189-nucleotide long non-coding RNA. RefSeq lists it as uncharacterized. The record is from RefSeq and is a predicted model, not a curated record. The transcript has 3 exons. Lineage: Eukaryota; Metazoa; Chordata; Mammalia; Carnivora; Mustelidae.